This 375-nucleotide ribosomal RNA is filed under the name uncultured bacterium. RNAcentral's name for it is "bacterial SSU rRNA". It matches the Rfam family "Bacterial small subunit ribosomal RNA", at positions 524 to 898 of the family's 1533-position model. The record is from RNAcentral.
GACGAACCGUGCGAACGUUGUUCGGAAUCACUGGGCUUAAAGGGCGCGUAGGCGGUCUGCCAAGUCUGGGGUGAAAUCCUCCGGCUCAACCGGAGAACGGCCUCGGAUACUGGCGGUCUCGAGGGAGGUAGGGGCGUGCGGAACUAAGGGUGGAGCGGUGAAAUGCGUUGAUAUCCUUAGGAACUCCGGUGGCGAAGGCGGCACGCUGGACCUCUUCUGACGCUGAGGCGCGAAAGCCAGGGGAGCAAACGGGAUUAGAUACCCCGGUAGUCCUGGCCCUAAACGUUGAGAACUAGGUAGUAGGCUUGACAUGGGCUUACUGCCGAAGCAAAAGUGCUAAGUUCUCCGCCUGGGGAGUAUGGUCGCAAGGCUGAA